Molecule: transfer RNA, 80 nt
Filed under: Actinoplanes octamycinicus
Lineage: Bacteria; Bacillati; Actinomycetota; Actinomycetes; Micromonosporales; Micromonosporaceae
Description: tRNA-Ala
Source: RNAcentral
UCGUGGGUGCGCAGGUCCUUGGCCGCGGUCGGGUAGCCGCCGACGACCCGGGCGAUCUGGGUGCCGUCCCGGUCGACGAA